RNAcentral lists this non-coding RNA (30 nucleotides) under Homo sapiens (human). The record is from RNAcentral. Lineage: Eukaryota; Metazoa; Chordata; Mammalia; Primates; Hominidae.
UCAGGCAGAUAAAGGAGAAACAAGGUGGCA